GCAAGUUUGAGUAGGAGAGCCAUGGGAAUAGGGGAACUAAGGAAUUUCUGGCAUCGUGCAGUUUAUCAGCUCUGCUCUUGGGUGUUUAGGUGUCACCCCC
Phyllostomus discolor (pale spear-nosed bat) is the source of this 100-nucleotide long non-coding RNA. RefSeq lists it as uncharacterized. The transcript is spliced from 3 exons. NCBI's taxonomy places the organism in Eukaryota, Metazoa, Chordata, Mammalia, Chiroptera, Phyllostomidae. The record is from RefSeq and is a predicted model, not a curated record.